CAGUCGCCGCGGGAAAACGUAGGUGGCAAGCGUUGUCCGGAAUUAUUGGGCGUAAAGGGCUCGCAGGCGGUUUCUUAAGUCUGAUGUGAAAGCCCCCGGCCCAACCGGGGAGGGUCAUUGGAAACUGGGAAACUUGAGUGCAGAAGAGGAGAGUGGAAUCCCACGUGUAGCGGUGAAAUGCGUAGAGAUGUGGAGGAACACCAGUGGCGAAGGUGACUCCCUGGUCUGUAACUGACGCUGAGGAGCGAAAGCGUGGGGAGCGAACAGGAUUAGAUACCCCAGUAGUCCCUGUCUCUUAUAA
This 301-nucleotide ribosomal RNA is filed under the name uncultured bacterium. RNAcentral describes it as "partial 16S ribosomal RNA". It matches the Rfam family "Bacterial small subunit ribosomal RNA", at positions 509 to 809 of the family's 1533-position model. The record is from RNAcentral.